Molecule: ribosomal RNA, 301 nt
Filed under: uncultured bacterium
Lineage: Bacteria
Description: partial 16S ribosomal RNA
Rfam family: Bacterial small subunit ribosomal RNA
Source: RNAcentral
CAGCAGCCACGGUAAUACGAAGGGGGCUAGCGUUGUUCGGAUUUACUGGGCGUAAAGCGCACGUAGGCGGACUUUUAAGUCAGGGGUGAAAUCCCGGGGCUCAACCCCGGAACUGCCUUUGAUACUGGAAGUCUUGAGUAUGGUAGAGGUGAGUGGAAUUCCGAGUGUAGAGGUUAAAUUCGUAGAUAUUCGGAGGAACACCAGUGGCGAAGGCUGCUCACUGGACCAUUACUGACGCUGAGGUGCGAAAGCGUGGGGAGCAAACAGGAUUAGAUACCCCGGUAGUCCCUGUCUCUUAUAC